This is a non-coding RNA of Picea glauca (white spruce), 121 nucleotides long. The record is from Rfam. Lineage: Eukaryota; Viridiplantae; Streptophyta; Pinopsida; Pinales; Pinaceae.
GUGUAUGCCUAUAACAUAGUGCUAAUACAUCGAAUCCCAUUAGAACUUCGCAGUUAAGCGCGCUCAAGCUAGAGUAUUACUAGGAUGGGUGACCGCUCGGGAAGUCCUACUGUUUUACAUG